GAGAGCUCAGAAAUUAACUGGAUACACACAUAGUUGAUCUUUGAUCAUUCUUUUUAGUGGAAAAAGGACAGUCCUUUUAACAAAUGGUGCUGGGAAAACUAGAUGUCCCUGUGCAGAUAGAUAAAGCUAGACCCUUACACCAUGCAGAAAAAAUAAAUGCAGUGUGGAUCAAAGACCAAAUUAAAAAAUUAAAACUGACGUGACAUGGGCUGGAAGAUGGCGUCUCCCACAGAUGGGACGGAUUUGGAAGCAUCUUUGCUAAGUUUUGAGAAACUUGACAGUGCCUCACCAGUUCUUUGGCCAGAACAGUUACCAGGUGUUGCUGAAUUUGCAGCUUCUUUCAAAAGUCCCAUCACAAGCUCUCCACCAAAAUGGACGGCUGAGAUAGAGCGUGAUGACAUCGAUAUGUUGAAAGAACUGGGGAGUCUCACCACAGCUAAUCUGAUGGAGAAAGUACGAGGCCUACAGAACCUGGCCUACCAGCUGGGGUUGGACGAGUCCAGAGAGAUGACAAGGGGAAAAUUCUUGAACAUUCUAGAAAAGCCCAAGAAGUAACAACUGCUCAAGGACUGGUGUUCUGAAGACUGUAACCAAGUUCCCUUCUAAAUACGACCCUGAUGCUCACCACUUGCUCCCUUGGGAAAGCCCAGAGGCUGAGCUUCAGGACUGCCCUCCUCCCCUGCCCUGGCACCCUGCGCCUCUGAGGAUAUUCGGUAUCAAGAGGAGAGACUGUUCUAACCAAGGAGCAUUGCUGUUUAUUGAGUCGGCUUCGUAGCUCUGGAUAUCGGUAACACAGAGGUCCUGUCAUUCUGAAAGGUGUUUUUCAGGAGCCGUAUAGUUCCUUUGAUUCUGUGAUGGCAAAGUCAAUAAUGACUUGUUGGUUGAAUGGGUUCUGUUGAGUUGUACUUGAUCUCUUAAGCAUUCAUGACGAGGACAUCAGAGACCAACUAUGUUCUGGACCAGACCCUGCAUCCUGACCUGUGAACUCUGCAAGACCUAUUGAUUCUAUGACUUCCAUUCUAGAGGAAACAUUAGAAUCUUGUUGAAAUGCAUAUCUGCUUUUUUUAAGUCUAUUCCUCCAACAACACUCCCGCUCUCAGGACUGUCCUGUCCCCACCUCCAGUCGCACUCGCAGGUCGGACUCUUGCAGUGACUUUCCUGGGAUUCGCUGUAGAGUGAACGGCUCAUGCUGUACCGCUUUGAAUCCUAGAUCUCCAGACCAGUAAGAAGUAACAGAAGGAACUCUGGGUAGUCUGUUACAUUUGUAAGUAAAAAAGUGGGAGCACAUGGUUGUGAGAGGCCCCAUGUGACUUAAGACAGGAAGCCUGAUUGACUGGUAUGCUAGCCAAUGGUAGUGGCAUUUGUCCCCUCCUUCCUCCUCUCAGCCACUUAUCAGAUGCUUUGCUUAUGUGAUAAGAACACACCCCACGAAAGUGUCCUGGCCUAACUACAACUCUCGCCGAAUUUUUUGCAAAUUGCAUAUGUCUGCUAAAGUCUGAAAAUCUUGCCCAUGGGUAAAAUCGAUUAGACUUAGUCUCUCACAUUUCGAAGAGUACAGCAGAUUCCUUGAACAUUGUAAAAAGAAAAGCUCUGUGGCCAUUGGGCCAUUGUCCACUGGGAGUAUAGACACAAGAAAAGUUGUCAAGUUUGUGGUCUUGUCUCUGUUAGGGCACAGUACUCUUGGGGUCCACAGCAGGUUCCUUGACUGUUUUUGACAUUUGUGCUUAAUGCUAGAAUUGAUGUUGGAUUUUCCCCCUCAUUAAUGGUUUUGAUCAACACAAUUUUACUUUUUGAAAGGAAAAGGCAGUGAAAUAUAUACCACAAAAUAUGAAUAUGAGAAGAGAUGUAUUCUUCUGGGGUACUCCCUACAAGGGCCAGUUGAAUUUAAACUUAAUUCUAUAAUUGACAUUUUUAAUCUCACUGAAUGCAGUUAAAGUGAGCGUGUACACGUGGUGGGAAAACAAUGCCAUAAUGUCAAUUGUCGUUCUUCACUCUGUUUUUGAGAGUUGAUGACAUCAGGCACUUUUCAGAGUUUGGGGAAAUUGAAAAGUCUGUGGAGAAUACUGAGCGAGCUCCCCUAAACUAACGCAGGUCUGUAAUAGGAAGCCAGGAGUUGGUGUUUUGAUCUGCUACAGCCUCCUCCUCCUAUCAUCCUAUUCACCAGCACUUAAUUAAUGUUAGUAGAUGUUUUAGACUUGUGUUAUUUAUUGUUUUUGUACUGUCAUCUUUAGAAAUGUUAAUGGUGUAUUUUAUAUUGAUAAUAUAAACUUAUAUAUAGUAUGUAUAUGUAUUUUAGAAUGUUAGAGAAUAC
Mus pahari (shrew mouse) is the source of this 2311-nucleotide RNA transcript. It is a transcript of the gene named protein lin-52 homolog pseudogene, with no coding region annotated. The record is from RefSeq and is a predicted model, not a curated record. Lineage: Eukaryota; Metazoa; Chordata; Mammalia; Rodentia; Muridae. The transcript has a single exon.